GAGUUCGACUCACCCGACGUUGACGGCGAGGGCGAGGGCGGCGCGCCUGGGGGGCUUGAGGUUGGAGCGGACGUAGUAGGCGAGGUCGUUGUCGAGGACGCCGCAUGCCGUGCCCACGGGCUCCUCAGGUUUCAGAAAAUAGAAACUAAUGAGGCGGGAAGUUGAACCAACGAUGUUACAGAGAAGGAAUUAAUGAGACAGGAAGCCGAAGAGACAUACGUUACGGGAAAGAAAGUAAUGAGACGGAAAGCCGAAGAGGCAGACGUUAAGGGAAGAAAUUAAUAAAACGGAAAGCCAAAGAGGCAGACAUUACGAGGAAGACGAGCGGUCACAAUAAUCGGAGAGUAAAAAUUUUGAGAAGGAGAGACUAUGAUGUUGCCACGUGGCAAAAAUUUAUGAGAAAUAAUGUAUGUGUAUAGAUGCUACUUUAGGUCUUCUGU
Molecule: long non-coding RNA, 440 nt
Filed under: Ananas comosus (pineapple)
Lineage: Eukaryota; Viridiplantae; Streptophyta; Magnoliopsida; Poales; Bromeliaceae
Description: long non-coding RNA (ACOM_LNC028007)
Source: RNAcentral